UUUAAGCCAUUAAUUCAAUAAGAAAUCUCAUAAUAAAGGUCUAAAUGACCAGUGCAGAAAUAUAACACAAGCCCAACAUUGGGGUGUGACAAGUCACGAGCAUCUACUAAGGUCUGAAUACAACGAAGAGUAAAAAUAUACUAAAAACAGUCUAAGAAAUACAAGAGGGAGAAGAUAGGGCUGCGAACGUUGGUCAGCUAUCUUGCCAACUCCGAUGACUCUGCCACUGAGCAAUCAACACCCGCUACCGGGUUCAGAAAUACCUGAAUCUGCAUAUGAGGUGCAUGGAGUAAUGUGGGUACGCCAACUCAGUAAGUAAUAAAAGUAAUUGAAUGCUGAGUAGUAAGAAAACACGUAAACCACGUCAUAGCACUAUAGCAAAUACAAUACAUUUCCAAAACAGUACAUGAAUUAGUAACAACUUGUUGCGGUGUGCAGCUCGAUCCAAUAAUAUCCUCACAACACAGGCCCUCGCCCUCACUCAGUCAGAAAUUUAUCAAGCCACUCGGGCAACAAUAAAACAUGAUACUCAGCCCAAAAUAUCAUUUAAAAUAUCAAAACAAAGUAAAUACAGCUGAGUUGUGAAAAUAGUAAAGCACAACAUGACUGACCGAGUAUAGAUAUUAAUAAAAAUAGUGAGGAAUAGUAGUAAAAAGACCCUAAGGGUCCAAAACAGUUGGCACAAGGCCCAAAUAUGGCAUUCAGCCCAAAACAUGGUAAUACUUUCCAAAACACAAUGAUAUCAAAUAAUUUUCAAUCAAAUAAGCGACUUAAUAGUCAUAAGGGACGGACCAAGGCACAAUCUCCAAUGGUGCACGACCACAUGCUCUCCAUCUAGCGUACGUGUCACCUCAAAGUAGUACAACGAUGUGAAAUCUGGGGUUUCAUACCCUCAGGACAAUACAAUCAUUACUUACCUCAAUCCGGAUGAAAUUCUACUCCAUAAUGCCUUUGCCGCUUGACUCAGCCUCCAAAUGCUCUGAAUCUAACCAAAAUCAGCAUAUUAUCAUCAAUAUACGCUAAAGGAAUGAAUUCCCUAUGAAAAUUAUCAAAUUAGAUCAAAAAUCGAGAAUUUGGCUCAAACCUGGCCUCGAGGCCCAUGCUUCGGGAUUCGACGAAACUCAACAACCCAUUCAACCACUAGUCCAACCAUACCAAAAUUACUAAAUUCCAAUAACAAUUCGGCCUCCAAAUCUUCAAAUCUUAUUUUCAAAUUCCUAUGUCCAAAUCCCUAAAUUGCACCUAAAAAACAUGUAAUCUAGUCGGAUUAUUCGAUGAUAAUUCAAUAUUAUGGAGUAUAAAUGAUCACAAGUGACUUACCUCAAGAUUUUUGAUGAUUUCUUGCUCAAAAAUCGCCCUAAGCUGUGUUCUUUCACAAAAAAAAGUCAAAAUGAGCUAAAAACAGAGCAGCAUUAAUAAACCAGAUUCUAGUCGCUAAGACCUAAUUCCGGUCGCUUAAAGUGGUCCAAUCUAUCGCUAAAGCUGCACACCAGAUCUGAUGCACCGGUAGUCUUUAAUUUUACUAAAAAUAUUCUAACUCCAUCAUACGAAUUCAGAAUUCGAUGAUUCUUGUUCCUAUGAGUGACAAAUAAUAAUAUGAACAUACUCCUUCAAUCAAAACUCAAUUCGGAGCUCAUUUGCUCAGUGCGAUACCCAUUUUUCUCGUUAAACAGUUAAUUCAUGAUUCGCGUCAAAAACCCAAUUGCGACUUUAUGAAAUUAGACCAAACUUUCCAGAUCACUCCUAUAAUUCAUUAUCAAAAUUUUGGAAGUCUCGAAAUCAAAUUUCAAUCUCUAGAACUAAAAAGUGGACCUUUGGAUCAUUAAAUGCUUAUGCUCAAAAUGCCAAAAUCUUAAAAAAACUCUUCUAAAACUUAUCCGAGCCUCAUGGGACCCUAACCAAACAUGCCAACACACCUCAUAACAUCAGUCAAACUUGUUCCAACUUUUGGAACGCUCAAAACAACAUCAAAGCAUCGAAUUACCCUCAGAUUCAAGCCUAAGAAUUCCAAAAACAUCCGAAUUUCGAAUUCGAUCAAAAAGUUUAUCAAACCUCGUCCGAAUGACCUAAAAUUUUGCACACAUGUCACAAAUGACACAAUGGAACUAAUCCAAUUUUUGGAAUUCCAUUCCAACCCCGAUAUCAAAAUUUCCACUGCCGACCGAAAAAUACCAAAUUUCUAAUUUCGCCAAUUCGAGCCUAAAUCUAACACGGACCUCAAAAAUACAUUCCGGACGCACUCCCAAGUCCAAAAUUACCUAAUGGAGCUAACCAAAUCAAAUGAAUCCAAAUCCGAGAUCGAAUACUAAAAAGUCAAAACUUGGUCAAAUCUUUGAAACGUAAAGCUUCAAACUGAGAAUUGUUCUUCCAAAUCUGUUGUGAUUAUCCUGAAAACCAAAAUCGAUGAUUUACAUAGUCAUAAUACAUCACACGGGACUAGUCAUGCCUGAAAGCUGGCGAGCGAAGUAAAAAAGCUCAAAACAACCGGUCGGGUCGUUAUAGGGUAAAACUUAAGCAUACUGAUCAAAGUAGUAAACAUGUUGAACAAGUAAAUACAUAAUCAGUUAAACUAGUGCGUAAAUAGGAAUGGAUUUAGCAACUAUGGACCACAUAGAUUUUAAUUUCAGAAUGAUAUUGAAAUAAGAACAUACCAGUUAAGGAAGCAUAGUGCAAAAAGUAAAGCAGCUAGAGUUCCACAGUCUAGCCUUGGCUUUCAGCCAGCUAGACGAGCAAUGAGCACAAGUAGCAGAAAGAGAGAUGAGAGAAAGUUUUAGUGUGUGUGUAUUUUUGAACUACUGUCCGUGUUUUUGAGAGGUAAAACAAGAGUGUAUAUAUAACAUUUAGGGAGUAGAGCAAAUAAGGUAAAAAUAAUCAGAAUUCAGUAAAUUAGGGGUCAAUCAAAUAAUCACAGAAUCAAUUCAUGUAAGGGAGUCCGAAAUAGACCCCUUAAUUAAGGCCAAUCACUUAACGAUCACAUCAAUAGGAGGUUAAUUAGGGUAUGGAAUCCAAAUCAUACCAAAUAGGGAAUCAGUAAGAAUCCCAAAACCUUGUGGAUAACUUAUUAAGGCAAAUGUGAUCAAUUAAAGUCACAAAUAAGUGAACAAAUAAGAUCUGUGCACACAGAUCUUAAAAGGGCAAAAAUUCGGAAAUAAUUACUAAAACCUUCAAAAGAAUACAGAUUUUUUGGAAAGAAUUACUUAGAUUCCAUAAGUAGAAAUUAAAUAAGUAAAGCUUCACAGAAAUAUAGAAUUCAGCAAGAAAAACAGGUUCGAACCAUAAAUAGAGAUUAAUUAGGGUAAGAUCCCAAAGAAAUACGGGAUUUUAAUCAAGGAAAACAUCUAAGCCCAAUAAUGGAGUAAACUAAUACGACUGGUAUCACAGAAAUAACAAAGUAUCGAAACAAAACUGAAGAAACCAGUAUAUCGCACAUAAUCAACUAGGGUUUGAACAUUCAUGCGAAAAUUAGUUAAGAUGAUGAAGAAACAAUUAACGAAACACUGAGAACCUAGAAAAUCGUUGAAGAAAAGUUUGAUACGAAUUGUAGUUUAGAAAGAGUGAUUAAAAAUCGAAAUAAUCAAUUUAAAUAAGAGAUGUUUUGAAGGAAAACACUUAAUAAAAUUCGAAUCACCUCAGAUCAAUAAAGAUCUGAGAAGAAUCGACAGUAUCGAACUGUUUUCAGAAAAAUAGCAGAGGUGAAGAGAAUAGGUCAAGAACCCAUAGAUUCGUAAUAUAACAAGGAGGGAUCCUUACUUACGAACGGAAAAUGGCAUGAGACAGGAUGGUAAACAAAGUUUCAAACCAGAACCAGUUGGAGUUCCUUGUGAUCUUCUCAAGGACUCAUGAAGUCGAAGAGCCAUGGAGUAUAGAAGGCCAGGGGUGGUCGGAGAAGACAUAGAAGCACCAUAGGAGGGAGGUUUACGCCGGUGAUGGUGACUAGGGUUAGGGUUAGGUUGAGAGAGAGUUGAGAGAUGAGGGGAGACGAUGACAGCGGGUUUUGAGAGAAUGAA
This 4007-nucleotide long non-coding RNA is filed under the name Nicotiana tabacum (common tobacco). RNAcentral describes it as "long non-coding RNA (NTAB_LNC011833)". The record is from RNAcentral. Lineage: Eukaryota; Viridiplantae; Streptophyta; Magnoliopsida; Solanales; Solanaceae.